AUCACCUCCUCUCCCCUGUCAAUACGUCACGAGAGUCGGAUGGUAGCGGUGGAUGGGGGAGCGCUGCGUUUCUAGAACGCGGCGCGCGUUCUGAAAACAAAUUUUCUCUGUGGCUGCAACGCUAGAGCGGCAACGCGUGGAGCAUUUGCUUGGUGGCUUUGGUGGGGCAUGCUGCACCGUAAACGCGAUUGCUUUUCUUCGAUUGUGCGUGGUUCGUCGUACACGGAAGCGCAACGAUGCCUGGCUGUUGUUGCGCACCAAACUGCAAGUCCAAUUAUGACGGAGGACAAAGUGUCCGAGUGCACAAGUUCCCAUCUGACCGAGCCACUCGGGAAGCAUGGACGAGAGCAGUUCCUCGGAAGGACUUCUCGCCAACGAAGUACACAGUGCUCUGUGAAAAGCAUUUCUUGCCAUCGGAUUACUUGAAGACGACAUCUUACACGGACGUCAAGACAGGAAAAGUGGUCGAAGUUGCCAUGAAAAACAUCCGUCUGAAGAAAACUGCAGUGCCGAGCUUGUUUCCCAAUUGCCCUGCCUAUUUAUCGCGUCCGCAAGUGUGCGUUCGAGAAGCGCCGGCUGCCAAAAGAGCGCGCUUGGAAGCCACAUAUUUGCAAAAAGAAAUAAUGCUUUCUCAGCAAACCCAAGCAGAAGAGGACGCCAAAAAUCUGGUUGGUAGCUUUGCGGACUUGCUGAAGGCCUUGCCAAGCUUUCAGUGUUCGGACUUCUGGACAGUUUUGAACAAGGGCUCCAAGGUUUUCUUUUUGGACUUGUCACUUCAAUCUGCUCCUGCAGUUCGUACUUCGGUGAUCGUGUCCACAGACCUGCGCGUCGAAGUAUUUUUUGGUGAAACGGGUGUGAGGAAGUGUGGUGAUGUUUUAGUUCCUGAAAAGCUGUGCGACUUGAGAGAUUUGAAAAGUGUGUUACAUAUGAUCGAACAGACACGUAAGGAUAGCGCUGAGCGUUCUGAAAAGGCCCGUCAUCUACUGACAUUGGUUUCGACAUUGCUAGAGGAAGUAAGUGGAAAACAUUUCGCAUGCGAGUUGCAAGAAUGGCAUAUGGAAGUGCUUAAAUUCUUGAAGAGUCAAGUUCAUCUUGUUUUGAAUGAUGCUGGCCGAUAUCCCCCCGAUUUAUUGGUUUUUGCUUGCCUUUUGUUCACAAUUUCACCUCAUGCAUAUAGAUUCCUGAGAAGUUCGAUGAAGCUUAAGAUGCCGCAUCCUGAUAAGGUCAGAAGACUGUGUUCAUCGUACGAUGUACGCCCUGAAACGGAGCAGCAAGAAUGUAGCUUUCUUUCCUAUGCAAAGCGUAUUGUAAGCACAUAUAAAGAGCAUGAAAAGACUAACGUCUUCAAUCACCCUCAAUCAUUUUUUGAUUACAAGGCUGGGUUGGUUACUGGUGCUGCGGUAAAUUCAUCGACUGCAGCAAAAACUGCCCACGUAUUUAUGAUACAGAGCCUGCUUUCUUCAAACAAGGAUGUUGUACACAUCCUUCCUGUGGCACAAAUCGAUGCUAAGGCGCUGCACGACUUCCUUCGGAAGAUUGUUCUUGAUCUAGAGGCAUCUGGUUUUAGAAUAAUCGCAGUGAUCUCGGACAAUAACUCCAUCAACAGAAAAGCCAUGUCCUACUUCGCUAAGCCGGCAAGUGUCAGCAUUGUUUACCAGCAUCCUGCUGACCCAUCACGACCCCUGUUUCUUGUGGUGGACCCAGUUCAAAUACUAAAGUGUAUAAGAAAUAACUGCCUGAAUCAAAGAAACAUUGGCAAAUGCAUGUACUUUCCUGAACCGAAGAGUGAUGAGGCUGAGCCAAAGAUACUUACAGCAUCUUUCAAGGUAUUAUGCCAGCUGCACGAAGCUGAAAAGCAUGAGCUCCUGAAGCUAGCACCAACGCUCACUUUGAAGGCACUGAACCCCUCAAACAUGGAACGGCAGAACGUUAAACUGGCCUUGAAGAUUUUUAACUCAUCUACUGUUGCUGCUCUCAGUGUUGCAACGUUCCAGCAUGCAAAGGAAACCUCUCAAUAUGUCGACACCAUUUUGACUUGGUGGAACAUUGUUAACGUCAAGACGCCAAGAAAAGGACAGCGGUUGCGAGAUCAGUUACAAGGUCCAAUAGUUUCAUCGUCAUGUCCUCAACUAGAAUUCUUAGAGAGAAUAGUUCAAUAGAUUGAUCACUGGAGAAGCCUCGAACAUGACAAUGGCCGCUUGACACGUGAAACGCACAUAGCUUUCAGCCACACUACCCAUGCCUUGCACGAACUUGCCAUAUACUGUCUCAAAGAGCUUCAUUUCGAGUAUGUUCUUUUGGGCAAAUUUCAGACUCAUAGCUUAGAGGAUCGCUUUGGAAAGUACCGGCAAUUGUCUGGUGCCAAUUACCACGUGUCUAUAAGGCAGAUAUAUGAAUCUGAAAACAAAUUGCGUUUGCAGAAGGUUCUGGACCUGCUAGAUUUGGACAUUCUACUACCACCGAGCGCGAACACGUUGGAGACAAGUGUACAUUCAGGAAACGGCCAGUUUCAAGUCACUGUGACCGACUCCGACAUUGAGAAAAAAACGUCAAGGCUACCGGUACUAACCUAUGUUGCCGGCUCUUGUGCCCAUGCAGCUCUAAAAAAGCUGACAUGCGCAUCUUGCAGUGAAAGCCUUGUGAUGCAAGACGUCGAUCUAGAUGACCCUGAGAAUGCAUUAAUCACGAAGAUGACAAGGGGUGGCCUGAAGUUUCCACGAGCAGUUGUAGUUAAUGCUGUACUCUUUACUGAAAUUAUAUUGUACAAGCUCAGGACACCAGAAUAUGCCGUACGAUUUUUCAGCCUUCCUAGGCAGAAAGAUACUCUUGUCGGCCUUGUGUUCGCUACCCUUCAUGACUUUGAGGAUGUCGAUGUGUGCGAUUUCGGUCAUCCUGCACAGGAGGUAAUGGGGCAUGUUGUAAGUGCUGCAGCGAAUACACUGCUGAACAACUUGUGCCGCACAGAAAACGACAAAUUACGCAACGCCAAGAACGACCGAAAAUUGCAGACCUUAAAGGCCUGAGAUGUUUCUCAUUAUUUAUUUUUUAUUCAUGAAGCUCUGUUUUCUUGAACAUCUACGUAUGUUUGUGUUGACAGAACCCUUGUAAAAAGAAACCUGUGGCGUAGCUAGGACUUAUUUGCCUACAUUAUCAAAAUUUAAACCCUGCAUUUUGGCCAAGUCAAAUGUUAUCUGAGUGCAUUGUGCUACCUGUUUAUGAUUCGAACUCUCCAUGCUACCGCAAUCCAUUAAUUGCAUUGUGCUACCUGUUUAUGAUUCGAACUCUCGAUGCUACCGCAAUCCAUUAAUUGCAUGUUUUCCUUUAGGACUGAGAGUAGGCCUCUCGUUUUUUACUUACUUUUCACCAUUAUCUCAGUAUUUUAUGAAGACCAAUAAGGCCUGCAAACAAGACGGGUGGAAAUAACAUAACCACAAGAAAUGGUACAACAAAGACGCAAGCUUAUUCUAUUUGAGAAUUAGUUGUGCGUGACCCUAUAAUAAUAAAAUUUUAACAAUAAAAUGAACCUCGAUAUUCGUGUGUCCAGCGAGGACUGUUUUACGCAAUGCAAGAGUGAGAAUGAUAAUUGUAUAUGGAAGAUUUAAAAUGUUUGUUUCAGAAUGCAGUUCUUAUCAUUUGUGAAUAAAGUAUAUUCUGUGUCUUCAAUAUGCAGUUUUCCUCUUUCUUUCUUUCCGUGUAAGGUUAAAGUGACUAAGCAGCAUGCAGUUUGCUUGUCUUAGUCCCGAACAAACAUCCCAAGCACAAUAAGGCCGGUCGUGUUCCGAUAGACGCAAAAAAAAAAAAAAAAAAUGUCGCCAGUCAAGUAGUCUAAGGAAGGUAUGAAAUAAUGUUGCUUUCUAUGGUGGUGUUGACUGCAGUGAACCAGCGGCUCCCCCUUAUUUUUUGCGUCAGCUAUACGUGUCUUGCUUUGGAAACGAAGCAUCUGGAUUUAUAGGUUGCUGUCACUUUAAGGGCAGCACUAAUUUUCUCAUGCCAUAGUAUCCGCGACGCGCAAAGAGACACACUGCAAGCACAACGAACCUAGGCGCGUAGACGCCGACGGCGUCGACUGUCCGGCCCAUCCGACUAGCGUGACGUCACACCGGCGUGCGGAGGCCUUAC
This is a non-coding RNA of Dermacentor andersoni, 4119 nucleotides long. Lineage: Eukaryota; Metazoa; Arthropoda; Arachnida; Ixodida; Ixodidae. The record is from RefSeq and is a predicted model, not a curated record.